This is a long non-coding RNA of Rhipicephalus microplus (southern cattle tick), 926 nucleotides long. The record is from RefSeq and is a predicted model, not a curated record. Lineage: Eukaryota; Metazoa; Arthropoda; Arachnida; Ixodida; Ixodidae.
UGCACUGCGGAUAGCACCAAACUCUUACGGAAAAGCCACAAUUAUAGGAGAAAAUUUUUUAGCCAAAUUUAGCAGCAGUUUGGCAACAACCACCCUUCCAGUCUGGCAACCACUUAUGCAACGCCAAAAGGAACCUUGCCUGCCACAAAAAGGCAUAGAGAAGAGUGUUCCAAGUUCAAAUCAGCACGUAUUUUCUUUUACGUUUAUCCAACGACUUAAACUUUUUUUUUUUUUCAAAUUAUGUGGACGCAUUUGUAAUGGACUUGCCACCAAAAUUCCAAGCUCUCAUUUUUGGAGGAGGUGCUGGGUAUCGAAAGGUAGUAAGGGAUCACGGCCAAAGAGAAGAUAAAAUGGAACAACAUGGCCAAAUGACUAAAGUACGUGCCACUUCUGGAUGGAAAUUGCGCAUUCAAGAAUGGUUGCGAAAUGUAAAAGGAAGAUAUUGGCAUUCUCCUUUGCACCAUCAACUGUCCAACAUCUGCAAGCUGCAAAGGUGGAAUGCAUUGGGUAUAUUAUAUGAAGAUGCAGGGCACAUCACAUGCACGGUUCAAAAAACGUGGCACUGUGCCAGUAACCAACGCCAAUAACCAAAGAGACCUGGAUACAUGCAAAAAGCUACAGCUACGAUUAUUUUAGAGGGAACAGAUUUUAUAGGCUGAGGCUUUUCUAUGUAAAGUAUGAAGAGAAAGAGAUAUGCUCAGCAUUCACAAUGCUUAUGUUACGCAAGGCCUCCAAGAAAUGUGGCCAAAGGACAACCUGCAGAAUCUGUGCACUCAAUCGGUGCUGUAAUCUCCAGAGUAAAAAGGUCACCUUUGCUGAAGUGCGAGAAACUGAAGCAACAGAAAGCUCCAAGACAUGAUAUAUGCAAGUCAUGUUUAGAGAAGCCGCAAAUAACAAAAGAAAGAAUAAAAAGUGUAUCCACAGUA